Molecule: ribozyme, 71 nt
Filed under: unclassified sequences
Description: HDV ribozyme from F. prausnitzii
Rfam family: HDV ribozyme from F. prausnitzii
Source: RNAcentral
GCCGCUCGGAACUUUGCACACCUCUCCGUGGUGAGCAGUAGGCAACGCUGAAAUAGCGGCUAAGUGUGAGA